UUGCGUGAUCCAUGCACGCGGGAUGUUGCGAGACUUUCGGAAAGCGUAAAAAUAUUUUUACGCUUUCCGAAAGUCGAGCAAUAUCCCAAGUGCAUGGAUCAUGCUAU
This 107-nucleotide microRNA precursor is filed under the name Paramuricea clavata. The record is from RNAcentral. Lineage: Eukaryota; Metazoa; Cnidaria; Anthozoa; Malacalcyonacea; Plexauridae.